RNAcentral lists this ribosomal RNA (390 nucleotides) under uncultured Glomeromycotina. RNAcentral's name for it is "SSU rRNA". It matches the Rfam family "Eukaryotic small subunit ribosomal RNA", at positions 704 to 1092 of the family's 1831-position model. Lineage: Eukaryota; Fungi; Glomeromycota. The record is from RNAcentral.
UGACGAACCAUGAUGUCAUUUAUUUGGUGUUGUGGGGAAUCAGGACUGUUACUUUGAAAAAAUUAGAGCGUUUAAAGCAGGCUCACGCUUGAAUACAUUAGCAUGGAAUAAUGAAAUAGGACGUUUGAUUCUAUUUUGUUGGUUUCUAGGAUCGACGUAAUGAUUAAUAGGGAUAGUUGGGGGCAUUAGUAUUCAAUUGUCAGAGGUGAAAUUCUUGGAUUUAUUGAAGACUAACUACUGCGAAAGCAUUUGCCAAGGAUGUUUUCAUUAAUCAAGAACGAAAGUUAGGGGAUCGAAGACGAUCAGAUACCGUCGUAGUCUUAACCAUAAACUAUGCCGACUAGGGAUCGGAUGAUGUUAAUUUUUUAAUGACUCAUUCGGCGCCUUACG